GAGCGUAAUAAUUUCCACUUUGUUUUGAUUUUAACGAAAAAGAAAGUGAGUUGACGAGCUAUUUGAAACACAAGCACCACAUCCCCCCUAUAAAUACACCACCACCACCACCACCUCCUCCUCCGCAACCAUCAUCACCACCACCACCUCCUCUCCAAUUUCUCACUCUUCCUCUGUAUAUCACACACAGACGCGCGCGCACAAUGAAUCAGCAUGGCACGACUGUGACGCAAUUCGUGAUGGAAGCCUCAGUGGCGGAAUCCAUCGCCCAAUCUCUGAACCU
RNAcentral lists this long non-coding RNA (283 nucleotides) under Salvia miltiorrhiza (redroot sage). RNAcentral's name for it is "long non-coding RNA (SMIL_LNC013868)". The record is from RNAcentral. Lineage: Eukaryota; Viridiplantae; Streptophyta; Magnoliopsida; Lamiales; Lamiaceae.